RNAcentral lists this ribosomal RNA (264 nucleotides) under uncultured archaeon. Its description in RNAcentral is "partial 16S ribosomal RNA". It matches the Rfam family "Archaeal small subunit ribosomal RNA", at positions 717 to 982 of the family's 1478-position model. The record is from RNAcentral.
ACACGACUACAUUAGAUACCCCGGUAGUCCCAGCCGUAAACAAUGUGCGUUAGGUGUGUCGGUAACCACGCGUUACUGAUGCGCCGAAGAGAAAUCGUGAAACGCACCACCUGGGAAGUACGGUCGCAAGGCUGAAACUUAAAGGAAUUGGCGGGGAGCACCACAACAGGUGGAGCCUGCGGUUUAAUUGGAUUCAACGCCGGACAUCUCACCGGAUAAGACAGCUGAAUGAUUGUCAAUCUGAAGGUUUUACAUGACUAGCUG